GCUGGGUGCAGUGAUGCCCACCUGUAGUCCCAGAUACUCAGGAGGAUCGCUUGAGCCCUGGAGUUCUGGGCUGUAGUACGCUAUACCCAUUGGGUUCUGCACCAAGUUUGGCAUCAAUGUGGUGAUCUUCUGGGAGUGGGGACCACCAGGUGGCCUAAGGAGGGGUGAACUGUCCCAGGUCAGAAACGGAGCAGGUCAAAACUCCCAUGCUGAUAAGUAGUAGGAUCACACCUGUGAAUAGCCACUGUACUCCAACCCAAGAGGCGGAGGUU
Molecule: unclassified non-coding RNA, 272 nt
Organism: Macaca fascicularis (crab-eating macaque)
Lineage: Eukaryota; Metazoa; Chordata; Mammalia; Primates; Cercopithecidae
Rfam family: Metazoan signal recognition particle RNA
About the family: The signal recognition particle (SRP) is a universally conserved ribonucleoprotein.
Source: Ensembl